Molecule: ribosomal RNA, 460 nt
Filed under: uncultured bacterium
Lineage: Bacteria
Description: partial 16S ribosomal RNA
Rfam family: Bacterial small subunit ribosomal RNA
Source: RNAcentral
CCUACGGGAGGCAGCAGUGAGGAAUAUUGGUCAAUGGGCGCGAGCCUGAACCAGCCAAGCAGCGUGAAGGAUGACUGCCCUACGGGUUGUAAACUUCUUUUAUAAGGGAAUAAAGUGAGGCACGUGUGCCUUUUUGUAUGUACUUUAUGAAUAAGGAUCGGCUAACUCCGUGCCAGCAGCCGCGGUAAUACGGAGGAUCCGAGCGUUAUCCGGAUUUAUUGGGUUUAAAGGGAGCGUAGAUGGUUUGUUAAGUCAGUUGUGAAAGUGUGCGGCUCAACCGUAAAAUUGCAAUUGAUACUGGCAGUCUAGAGUACAGUUGAGGUAGGCGGAAUGCGUGGUGUAGCGGUGAAAUGCUUAGAUAUCACGAAGAACUCCGAUUGCGAAGGCAGCUUACUAAACUGCCACUGACGUUGAUGCUCGAAAGUGUGGGUAUCAAACAGGAUUAGAUACCCCGGUAGUC